RNAcentral lists this ribosomal RNA (149 nucleotides) under Comanthera giuliettiae. Its description in RNAcentral is "5.8S ribosomal RNA". It matches the Rfam family "5.8S ribosomal RNA". Rfam says of the family: 5.8S ribosomal RNA (5.8S rRNA) is a component of the large subunit of the eukaryotic ribosome. It is transcribed by RNA polymerase I as part of the 45S precursor that also contains 18S and 28S rRNA. Lineage: Eukaryota; Viridiplantae; Streptophyta; Magnoliopsida; Poales; Eriocaulaceae. The record is from RNAcentral.
AACGGAUAUCUCGGCUCUCGUAACGAUAAUGAAUGUAGCAAAUGCGAUAUUUGGUAUGAAUUGCAGAAUCUCAUUAGCCAUCAACUAUUUGAAUGCAAGUUGAGCUCGAAGCCGCUGCGGCUGAGGGCACGCCUGCCUGGGCGUCGUUA